GGAGAGAUGGCCGAGUUGGUUGAAGGCGCUCGCCUGGAAAGCGAGUACAUGGGGUUGACCUGUGUCGAGGGUUCGAAUCCCUCUCUCUCCGCCA
Molecule: transfer RNA, 94 nt
Filed under: Desulfitobacterium sp.
Lineage: Bacteria; Bacillati; Bacillota; Clostridia; Eubacteriales; Desulfitobacteriaceae
Description: tRNA-Ser
Rfam family: tRNA
About the family: Transfer RNA (tRNA) molecules are approximately 80 nucleotides in length. Their secondary structure includes four short double-helical elements and three loops (D, anti-codon, and T loops). Further hydrogen bonds mediate the characteristic L-shaped molecular structure. tRNAs have two regions of fundamental functional importance: the anti-codon, which is responsible for specific mRNA codon recognition, and the 3' end, to which the tRNAs corresponding amino acid is attached (by aminoacyl-tRNA synthetases). tRNAs cope with the degeneracy of the genetic code in two manners: having more than one tRNA (with a specific anti-codon) for a particular amino acid; and 'wobble' base-pairing, i.e. permitting non-standard base-pairing at the 3rd anti-codon position.
Source: RNAcentral